ACUGCAUAAGUCAAUGCACAGUAUGCUGUUGUACAGCCUCGCUGUGCCAGUUCAAGUGGACUGAAUGUGUUUUGAAAGAGUGACUGUUUUUGGGGUUAGGUACUGGCUUUCUUGGGCAAUGCCCAAUGCUUGGGAAGCAAAGGGAGUAUUCCUACAUACUUUCUUUGUUCCUAUGCUUUCCUCAAGGCAUCUAUUUUUGGACUCUGUCAAGCGUUAAAGCGCUGAGCUGCAUGGCUUUCUGGUCUGAGCUACUGUAAUCACUUCUAUUUUCUUAUCUGAAGUGUGACUUGAAAAGAGAGCCUAUUCUGUGAUGCCUAUCUGGAAUAUAAGGUUUUGCAUAGCCACUUUGGCUCCAGGCCUAUCACCUGCAAAUUUGUCCCUAUCAGCUGUUAACUGAAUGUGCAUGCAGGAGCUGUGGAGAUGAAGACAAAGUGCCAGCUGGCUGUAAGAGCAUGCUUUUGUCCUCUCUAGUUACUAAUAAGUACCUUAACUGUCUGUUUGAAUAUAAUAAAGCUUUAUUUUAUGCUUUUAUUUUUUUUUUAGUCUGAAUUUUGCUUAGCUUGAGUAGUGAUUUUCAGAGUAAUAUGGCAAAUAGAAAAGUGUUCAUUCCAUAGGGAUUCCUGGAGCUAGAAAGGGAAUAAUUGAUCUCACUGGAGGUGUUUUAUAUCCCACAUGAUGUUGCAUUACAGUUAACUGUCUGCAGAUGUUUUCUCCUCUAAGUUGCAGGUCCCUUUUUCAAAGUUGGUGGUGUAAAAUAUCAAGUUGAAUAUCAAAUUGAGUAUCAAGAGUUACCACAUUCUACAAGACAGACUGGGGGGAGACACCCUGGAUUCACUUGUCCAGUUCUUAAGUUAUUUGAAUAAAACCCAGACUUAGUAUUUAAAGAGUGGCUACAAAGAAGAUGGAGACUCCCUUUUUACGAUUAGUCACACGAAAAAGAUGAGGGGUGAUGGCACACAUUGUUCCUGGGGACAUUACAACUGGAUACAAGAGAAAAUUUUUCUCAGAACAAUCAGCCAUUGGAAUAAUCUCCCCAGGGAAGUGGUGGAUUCUCCAACAUUGGACACUUAAUAGUCAGCUGGACAGGGUGCUGGGACAUCUAGUCUAGGUAAAGCUUUGCCUGGGAAAAUUGGACCAAGAUGAUGCUGGAGGCCCCUUCUAACCCAGAAUUCUAUGAUUUCAUGUAUGAUGUGGCUGGAUGUUCUAGGUGUGAUUUUGGAGAUGUAGGCAUUUGGGCCUGAAAGUCUUCCCAUAUUUACGAGUCACUGGAGAGCCUGGAUUUCACAGUCCAUAUCUGCUUGCUAUGGCUCCUGGUCAGUAUCAACACCGGUAGUGACACAAGAUAGAAGGACUUGAAUUUAGAAGUUGAUAACUUCCACAGAUAAAAUUUUCUGCUAUUAAUCUUAGUUACUGAUCCAGUGAGCUUUCCAGAGUUACUGCUGAGGUAUUGCUCACUCUCAUAAUUGAAAGAGAGAUUACUUAACAGCUGUAUUUGCUUAUGUUCUGAUUGUUUUCUUUAUUUGUUGGUAUUUACUUCUGAAUUUGUGCAGCUUGCUGGCCAGGAUUCCAGGGGAAUAGCGUGUCCUCCUUUUCCAAGGACAGCGAAAUCAGGAGCUGAGUACCAGCACACUGACACACAAGCCUUGGAUGUACAAACACAGGUCAGCAGGAAUGGGAACAUGUCAGAAACUGGACCACCAGGAGUUCAGGCUGUAGAGGCCAUCGGAGACCGUCACUGAAUUUAAUGGCAAGAAGCUCAGGCAUAAUAGGAAGACACUGAACACAGAGCAAUCUGACUGUCAGAAUGUUCACAGAUUAAAUGCUAGAGAUCCUGAUGGUUCACAUACAAACCUUUCCAAAACUGAAUUCAGAAUCAGCCUUUCAGAAGAGCUUGUAGGAAUCCAGGGAGGAAGCCCAGAGGAAGGCAAAUCAGUCACACAUUCAGAGAUUACAGGAUUGUUGUGUGUUUGUGUAAAUUCAGUUAAAGUCAUUGCAUUCACUUUCUGCAACAAAAGAGCCAGGAUCGUCUGGGCAAGAUCUGAUUCAUUGCACAAUCCUGACUCAUCUCCAUGCCGUGGUCCAUUCUGUGCACUGAGCAGCUAUAUACAGCUCUUAUACCAACAAGCUGGAUAUGCUUCCUUAAAAAUGAUGGAAGAGAAUGACAAACUCAUCCCUGAGAGGCCUCGUGAUCCAGGUAUUUCCCUGCCUCUCUAACCUGAUGUGGCUCCAGUGACUGCUUUGGACAGCUGUAUGUCUGUGCUGGUGCUGAGUGGGUAGGUUAAAUGGAUAAAAUCCUAAAACAGUUCGUGAGGUGUGUGGAAGAAGAGUCCUGAGAUGGAGAGAAGGUAUUCUGGUUGCAAAGAGGCUUAGGGGAAUUUACUGGUAGGAAAAGGAAGCCUGAUUUACCUCUGGAAGGAUGUCUUGCUGUUUCCCACCACUGACCUGGACUGCUGGUAGUGUGAUCCUCACCUGUGAAAGACAACAGGAUGCCCUCCACCCUGAAAGGUUAAGAAGUGCACUGCACCAUAAUCAGUGUAACACUUCCCUCCUUAAAAAGACCACGAUAAAAUCAGUUCCUCUCUUCCUUUUCCUCAUGGGUGACAAAGCUGUAUGUAUGUAUGACAGUGUCUGUGAAGGUGCUAAGUGUCUCUGCUGGCACUGUCAGCGAGUGCUCAGUGCAUAAACAAGAUAGUUCCUAGUGGUUUUCUCAUGUCUGUGGUCCUUUAGAUACUUUUGGAACUCUUCGAGAUGCAAGUGUGCUCUCUAACUCCCAGUUUUUGGAGCACGGUGCAGCAGUGUAGGUGGCACCAUUAAUAUAUUAAAGGUCUGCAAGUCUAUCCUGAAACAGGGACAUUUUGCAUAAGCACCCAUGUGUGGAGUGUAACAACAGCGUGCUGUGGCAAUAAGGGCCUGGUUCAGGUCUGCUGCAACAGCUUUGCUCAUGGUUGGGUGGCUGGGGCUGUUCCAGGUGGGACGUGCACUAGUAUACAGAAGCACGGGUUGCAUGAGCCGUGUCCUGUAAGAUGAUCUCAUGACUGGAAACCCUUAGGAUACUGUCUUGGUGCUCCUGAGGGACCCUCAGCACCCUAGAAAGUAGUCCCAGAGCUCAGUCUUGCAGACCAUCAGGGGCUUCAGGUUCUCAAGGACCAGUGUGUCACUGGUAUAGGGCAUUACAGGCCUACCAGCACUGCUUCAGUGGUUGGAAGAAUUUCUGUCCUUCCUGCAUUUCAGUCAGACAGGAUCACCCUUCACAUUACCCAUGCCAAGAGGAGAGAUUGAGAACUCAGUGCCAGCACUGAGAAACAGAAGAUCAAGUGUUUGAUGGAUUUUUGUGCCCUAGGGUGGAGCACACUCACUGAAUCUGUGGGUGCAGUAAAUGUGAAGAGCCUCUGGCACACAGGAGCUGAGAGUGACAGAACAUUCAUGGACUUGAGCUCUCCAGCUCCCAGAAGUGUUUACAGAACAUAUUUGCACUGAGAUUUUCAGAGGCUUGUUGCUUGGCCCAAAUUUGUGCAGUGACUCAUAGGAGCAGUGAGAAACACAUCCCAGAUGCAGACAGCUCCUCUGUUAGAUUUUGAGGCUCUGCAUCACACUUUUUACCAGAACAGUCUUGUGUUUCUUUUAUGAAGAUGAGCAUUCGUCAAUGUUUCAUUCUCACUGACAGCUGAACCCAUGUUUUAAUAAACAAGCAAACAAAAUACCCUUCAGGUCCUUGGCAGUCAGCCAGCACAGAAAAUCUCUCUCAGACAGUUAAGGAUAAAAGUUUUAAUGUACUGACCAUACUGAUAACAAACCUAAUAAUGAAAGUGUCAUUAACUUCACUAUGUGUGUGCACAUGAUCAGACCAACAGGAGUUAUGACAGGGAGUAAAUUACAAGCUACUAAAUUAAUGAGAUCUUGUAUCUUCUAUUUCUGCAGCUAUGUUCCUCAGAUCAGUUUAGUGAUGCAAAGCAUUAGUUCUAGGUGAGUGAACACAACCCUCUAUGUUUUAAAUGAGAAAUUUAUUAAUUAUCAUAAGAGAAUUAUUAAUUAUUGAUUGAUAAUAAUUAAUUAGCCCAAACAAGACUGAACAAAUGUGAAAUAGGUGAGCCAAGCUCAUAGCAACCAUUUAGAACAUGAGGGGAUGCAUCUCACAUUAUAUGGACUUCCAGGUUAUUCUACUACAGAAGACAAGUGUAAAUGUCUUAGUUUCCACUGGAUGGUUCUGUUCAGAUAACACCUGUUCUCAUUUCUGUAACCAAAAGGUGGCAGCAUGUUGUCUACUUUCUCUUUCCAUCCAUCCUCCUAAAUAACCUUACUUGCUCAGUUUGCCAGGAAGUCCAGAACAAUCAUGCUGACUAAGGAAUGCUGAUGAGAUCUUAUGUAAAAUCAACUGUUUAUCACCUUUAAAUAGGAACAGGAAUAGAACAAGGGCUGGUGGUUUUAUUCUGUUGUUUCAAUGGCAGCCUGAUUGACUUUUGGAAAUGUGAAGAAAUGUUACAUCUCAGCUCCCUGGUGUAACUUCAGAAGGGAAACCUACCUGGAGAGCUUAACGGUUAUAUUAUCAGUAAUUGUUGUUAAGAAGCCUGAGCGAGUAGUAUUUGUGAGAUACUAUUGAUCUCUCAGACUUAACUGAGUUUUGUUCCUUCUUAGGUACUUCCUGCUUUGGUAAAUAGACAAUAAGCCAUUGGGCAUCCAAAGGUAGGGCACAUACUUUAUGCAGUGCAAAUACCAAGGUGAAAAGGACAUGAGGUAUCAUUUGAGUUUUGCUGCAGGAGUGCAUCAGUUCAAAGGCUUCUGGAAAGGUACCCAGAGAUAUUUCCCGUGUUGGCUGGUAAAGAGAUCUGAAGGUAGAGGAAAGCAUUCUGAAACAGGCUCUCAGAUCUGUAGGGGUACUGUAUGCUUGUCACAAUGCCACAAGUCCUCAGGAAACACAACUGCUACAGAACACUGGAGUGUGUGUCCUUAACAACUCAAAACACCCACAUGCAUAUCAAACUGAUUUCUGCUUCCUACACUGGCUUCCCAUACUCAUACUCAGGGUCUCAGUCAUGAGUUCCGAGCUGCUCCAUGGCCUGGGAACUGUAAACAUUGCUCUGGGAUCUUGGCUGCACUUAACAGUACUGCCCCAAGGCACUAUGAAGCUUUUUACCACAAGGGCAAAUAAAGCCUUUCAACUUGAGAGAGUUGACAGCUUCUCAGCCUCGUUUGCCAGCUGGAGAAUAGAUACACAGAAAGGGUAAGAAUAUGUAUGAUAAUUCCAGAAAAGUUUAGAGUCCCUUUCAAACCCCAACUCAGCAGAUGCAUACGAAGAAAUGCCCCAAGUACAAGCCUCAGCAGCCAUCCAGUUUGAGUCCAUAAACACUUCUGAAAUCAUGAUAUACUUAGCUGAUAUGCAUGCUGCAGUUCACAAGUAUGGCUAGUGGAGAGCAGCAAUCCCACAUGGCACUAUACCUCCUGUCUUUGCUGUCCAUAACUAGAGAUCAGACUUAAAGGAGGAAGACAAUUUACAGACAGUGAUGGAUGGAGGAUUAAGAAUGAUGUGGAAGCUGAUGCUGCCAAGCAAGACACAAUUGCAGGGAAGGUCACUUAGGUGUCUGAGAGCAUCCUUUGUCUGUCAUAACUGCCAGUGGAGAUGCAUUUUGGGGGAGUAGCUCACAAAGUGAAGACACAACUCUUCUAGAUAUCAAGGAUCAUCUUAAUUUAUUACUCAUCCCUCCAAAAGGAAGAGCAAGGUUUUGGCCUGCUGUCUCUGACACAGAAGCAUCACUAAUAAAAGCUCCCCAUGCAUCACAUUCUCCUUCAUAAGAGUAGAAGAGGAACAAUGCUUAUAUGAAAAUCUUAUGGGAUGUUAGCCCCACACAUGAAUGCAAAGCACUAAAAUGAAGCAAAGUAAAAACACACAUGGUGAAGGAUUUCCAGGCUUUAGUCUGGGGCUGUCAUCAGUAGACAUACCUUUGAGGGAGGCUGGAGGAUUCUGAUGAUGUGGUUGUAUUGAGAUGCUCCUCAGCAGCACAGCACUGGGUGGGUGGUUUGCUGUGCAGUAUGUCUUUUGCUCUCUAUUGUGUGAGUGGCUGCUGCUGGCCUGUCAGUGCCUGCAGCUUGCCAUCCUAUGUAAUCUGUCCUCAGUUCAGUUCCCUUUCCACAAUGUCCACACUGACUCAUGAAAGAGGGGAUAACCAGUAAAAGGUGGCACACAUGAUGAACCCUAACCACUGCAAGUCUGUUACUCAGGAUGAAGGUUGCCCCUCACCAGUCACACUUGGUUUAAUAUCUAGCAUUGGAGAGGCAGCAAAAAGGGAUUAUAACUCAUUUUCUUUUAUGUACUCACAAAUACACAGGUGGGAAAAUCCUCUGUGAAUUGUCUUGUGUUUUACACGCUGUCUGCCAAGGGAUGAGUUAAUAAGUUCAGCCAUGCCAAUACGAGCAGAUUUCUGUUCUGCUUCUCUGUUGCUGCCUCCGUUUCCCACCUCUUGCUGAACAGCUGGUCGCUAGAAAGAGAGGAAAUAUUUCUGUUCUGAGAUUUGAAAACCAGCUUGAAAGAGAAAGGACAGAGAACACCUCAGUAUGUUCUCUCCCUCCUUUGGUGUUAGUGCAGCUGGGAAAUUGUCUGUAUGGCUAGCAACUCUCAGACCUUUUUAGACCUGGAAUAGACAUUCAGCACAGGUUCUAUUUUGAAUAAGAACCUAUUUUCCUCUAUCCCUCAUUUUAAAAGCAUCUGCAGUUCACAGCUACGCCAAAACUGACAAGUCUGCGCGUCAAAUGGAAAUGCCAGCAUAAUAUGGUGUGACAUGAACAGUGGCCAAACAUUUUCUCGUGGCUUUUUUUUUAUUGCCGGUGCAACAAAGGUAUUUCUUUAACAUUUUUUUGUCUCAGAUCAAGAUGGCGUCUUAAGACCAUGUUUAUUCUGGUGAGUUUCCUUUUCUGCUACCUUUAUACUCUUCUCCUUUCCUCCAGUGACAUUUGCAGUUUAAUACAGGUUAGUAGAUAGAAAACCCAGAAACAUCCCAUACCACAACAUCCAUUUUCUUUUCCACCUAGAUAAAAAGUGCUAGCAAAAAAGCAGAACCUGCAUCAGAUCUAAAUGGCUGAUCCCAAGAUAAAAGGUGAUUCAUGGCAUAAUCAAUCUUCAAAGCCCAUUUUUUUAAUCCAAACAAUGACAGUUUAAUCCUCUGUUAACUUCAGUUUUCAGAUGGAGGCAAUUUUCAACUCGAGCUUGGAAGGAAUUAAUUGGUAGCAAGCCUAGUGCAGAAAAGCAGCUUUGCAGGUCUAAGUGAUACUAAUAAGGAGAGACACUCCUGGUGUUCAGGUUAAAGAGGGCUACACUUCUGAUCUGGAAGUGCUUCAUUUUUCUCUCCUCAAAAAGAGCAAAGAAGCUAUAAAUUCUAUCUGCUUACCUUGUGAAUGAUUCCCCAGGGCAACUGGGGAGUCAGGACUUUCCAGCCUUCACCCAGAUGUCACUUGGGCACACCAGUGGCAUCGCCUUUGAGGGCUGUUGUGCAGCUGCUGUGUAGUCCCAGUUCUGGUCUGUACUUCCAGUUUUGGGGUGCCCUUGGGUUAGCGUCUGUACCACCCAUGCUUGGUGAAGAGGAGUAAGGGAGAAGGAAAGAUUUUAUUUGAGUUGUAAUAUUCUGGUGGGGAUGUGCCCCAGUACCCUUAAUGUAAGAGCUUCUCCCACUCCAUGAUCAGAGCGUGAAAUUUAUUUUCACUCCGUUAAGCUUAGUUUAAAAUGAGACCAUUUUGAAGCAGAAAACCAGAAAUUAUCAAUUUGAAAAUUGUCAAAAUAAUCUUUUCAUAACAUUUUUUAAAUAAAAAUGCCCUGAUACGGAAGCUCUGCCUCCUCUGUGGGAGAUCUCCAGAGAGAAAACGUUAGCUUCAGUGAAGAGAAAAGCUGAUAUUAUCUCUUUCCUUUUCUUUCAAGGUCUUUGCUUUCAUUGUGGUUGCUUGCUUUUACAUGUAUUCUUACCUUAGAGUAAUUGAUAGUUCAUUCUGCACAAUAGGAGUGCUUAAGAGCACAUAUGCAUAUAGAAUUGUGAUUUUUUUUUUUUUUUUUUUUACUACUUGUUAUUAACAUUGAUCUAAUUCUGACAAUGUUAUGAGUUUUAAUUUGGUACUUAUCAUGUUAUAACAUUCUGAUCUCUGUUUAUUCUGAUCACUGCUUAACACAGCACAGAGUGGGGAGAAGUGAAUAAAGUGGAAAUACGGUUAAAACACUAAAAGGGACUUUGUUACUUGCAGGACAAGUAGAUUUAGGACAAGGCUGAAGAAGGAACAUCACAGUAGCUGGUGUGAUGUUCUGCUGCUUAAAACAAGGAAUUUGGCAGCUGGGAAUGGCAGAAAUAGAUUUUUAGAGUUUUAUUUAAUGGAGUCAGAAGCCCAUUGCAUGAGUCUAGAAGAAUGAAUCAGUGAUAACAUCCAAGAUACUGGGACUGGCUAAUUGUGUUACUGUUGUGAUAAAAAAAAAGGACAGGGUUCAGGAGAACAGGGUAAGAUUUACUGGGAAUGACCAAGAGCACAGGUUAAGAAAAGGCAUAUACAUAUAGGUAAAUAUAUAUGUAUGUGAAUAGCUAUUAUUUAUCAGAAAGAGAGACCCAGGUGUAAGAAUAGACAGCUGAGAAUGAUCAUGAAUAAAGUUCUGUAUUUGUCACUUGUGUACAGGCAGAUACUGAAUCAGCUCAAAGCCUGUAUGUUUAGCUCUGCAGGAGCAAUGAUAAAUCUUGUUUGCCCAAAAGAACAGUCUCUAAAAAUGAUUUCCCCCUUCUUUCUGUUUUUGUGAUGUACAAGGGUGGCAGGACUAUAACUAAUCCCCUCCUGACUCUGCUUGUGGAUGCUGUAACUUCAUACAGCAGCACAGUUACACAACCUGAAACUUUAGCAUCUUUCUUAAAAAGUUGAAUUAAUGGGAACAAACAAUUCCCCUAGGGCUGCAUGGGAGACACACGUUAUAGAGCAUGUGGAGAAGAAAAAUAUUAGCAAUUUAGUCAUGAGGAGUUUCUGCUCAUGGAAGAGUAAGAAGGUUUUGUGCCUGACCUUCCUGAACACUGCCUAUCCUCAGCUUUCACCGUGAAAACGUUUAAAAUUGAGUCCCUAUUGAGCCAGCUAAAGCAAACAGCACAGUCCUCAGUGCUACCACUGCCCUCAGCUGUACUUCCUCUGGAUCAAGAAGUGGUAGUGUGUAACUCAUGAUGGGGAGUGUGUUUUUGGGGGUGAUGCAACCUCUGAGCUUGGCUUUGAUUCGAGAAAAGCACUUUUAUCAUCUGCACCCCAUUAUUGUAUUGGACAAGGAGUAAUGGGUUCAAACUAAAACCGGGGAAGUUCAGGUUAGAUAUAAGGAAGAAG
Pezoporus occidentalis (night parrot) is the source of this 9318-nucleotide long non-coding RNA. RefSeq lists it as uncharacterized. NCBI's taxonomy places the organism in Eukaryota, Metazoa, Chordata, Aves, Psittaciformes, Psittacidae. The transcript has 7 exons. The record is from RefSeq and is a predicted model, not a curated record.